UCGAAGUCUGACGGAGCACGCCGCGUGAGUGAUGAAGGCUUUCGGGUCGUAAAACUCUGUUGUUAGGGAAGAACAAGUGCUAGUUGAAUAAGCUGGCACCUUGACGGUACCUAACCAGAAAGCCACGGCUAACUACGUGCCAGCAGCCGCGGUAAUACGUAGGUGGCAAGCGUUAUCCGGAAUUAUUGGGCGUAAAGCGCGCGCAGGUGGUUUCUUAAGUCUGAUGUGAAAGCCCACGGCUCAACCGUGGAGGGUCAUUGGAAACUGGGAGACU
This 274-nucleotide ribosomal RNA is filed under the name Bacillus gaemokensis. Its description in RNAcentral is "partial 16S ribosomal RNA". It matches the Rfam family "Bacterial small subunit ribosomal RNA", at positions 376 to 642 of the family's 1533-position model. Lineage: Bacteria; Bacillati; Bacillota; Bacilli; Caryophanales; Bacillaceae. The record is from RNAcentral.